This is a long non-coding RNA of Xiphophorus hellerii (green swordtail), 662 nucleotides long. RefSeq lists it as uncharacterized. The transcript is spliced from 5 exons. The record is from RefSeq and is a predicted model, not a curated record. NCBI's taxonomy places the organism in Eukaryota, Metazoa, Chordata, Actinopteri, Cyprinodontiformes, Poeciliidae.
UCUUUUGUUAAAAAUGUUCAGGACGCCUGGUUUACCCGCGGAAGACAACACAGGCCAGCAACUGGCUUUCUGGAGGAGCGUCUCCGUAAUGUAAGGAAAAGGCAUCAACCAAGGAAGAAGAUGCUUUCAGCCCCAGAAGCUCCACCAAAAAGAUCAAGUUUGCCUGAACCAACCAUCAGUGCUGAGCGUGCCAUCCAGAUGACAGAAUGGCUAAAAAAUAACUUCUGGCCCGCAGACCAGGUUGUCCAAUACAUGCGGGAAACUGCAGUAUAUCGCGCAGGAUGGAUCCGCUCAAGUGGGACAAUCCCAAUGCAGCAGAUUUUUGCAGAGUUCCCACGUUUGUUGGACACACCAGGGAUGAUUUUGCAGGACUUUGCCGUUUUAUAUCCACAGUCUUGUGGAAAACUGACAGAGAACUGGAACACCUUGUUCUCAUCAAAGGUCAUUCGCAUGGGGAAUUAGGAGGAGAGCGGUCUUCUGCCUGAGAUUGAGUUGCUUCCACAAGACAAACAAGGUGACGUGGCACUGCAGCUGCUGCCAAAACUCCUCCCUGCUGUUCCCUACAGAGUUGGGCGAAAGGUGGUCAGAACCAGCAACCUUGAAGUCCAGCAAGCCUUCAUUGAUGUCCAGCCAAUUGGGACAAAUAUGGUGGAAUAUCUUGA